UUGUUUUUCAUCUCGCCAGUUCUGUUCGAUCUCUCGUGUGUUUUGGAUGCCUGUUUCCGUCGUUUACUGGGUGAACAAAAUCGAUUGUUAGAAAAAAUUGAAUCGUAUAUUUAUCCGUCGUGGCGCACUGACAUGUGUUAGUCUGAAAACAUACGACUAAUUGCAAACCCGCGCGCUAGGAGACCGAAACCGUUGUUUCUCGUAAUUAUUAUAUAAGGUUGAUCACAUCGGAUCUGGUUUUUUUGUGUCCCUCUUAGCUGGGUGGCUAUUGUUUAUCUGCGGAACUCGGCGUGUCCUUGGGCUAACGAAAGUAAAACCUCUUCUGUCCCAGCAAGCAACUCCAGAGACAUGGCUGAUAAGGUGCGUGUUUGCAUUGUUGGCUCUGGAAAUUGGGGCUCGGCGAUCGCCAAAAUCGUCGGCGUCAAUGCCAAGCGGCUGCCAAAUUUCGAGGAUCGCGUCACAAUGUACGUGUACGAGGAGAUGAUCGACGGCAAGAAGCUCACAGAAAUCAUCAACACAACACACGAGAACGUCAAGUACCUGCCUGGACACAAACUGCCCGAGAACGUCGUUGCCGUUCCGGACGUGGUGGAAGCCGCCAAGGAUGCCGACAUCCUGAUCUUCGUCGUACCCCACCAGUUCAUCCGAGGGCUCGGUGCCCAGCUGUUGGGUAAGAUCAAAACCACCGCCGUCGGACUCUCGCUGAUCAAGGGUUUCGACAUUGCCGAGGGUGGCGGCAUGGAACUGAUCUCGCACGUCAUCACAAAGCAUCUGAAGAUCCCCUGCUCGGUGCUGAUGGGUGCCAACCUGGCCGGCGAGGUCGCCGAGGAGAAGUUCUGCGAGACUACGAUCGGCUGUCGGGACAUGAAGAUUGCCCAGGUGUUCCGGGAUUUGUUCCUGACGCCCAACUUCCGGGUGGUCGUUGUGGCUGACGUGGACGCGGUGGAGAUUUGCGGUGCCUUGAAGAACAUUGUGGCGUGCGGGGCUGGGUUUGUGGACGGUAUGGGACUGGGCGACAACACCAAGGCGGCCGUCAUUCGGUUAGGUUUGAUGGAGAUGAUCAAGUUUGUGGAUGUGUUCUAUCCGGGAAGUCAGCUGUCGACAUUCUUCGAGAGCUGCGGGGUGGCGGAUUUGAUUACUACGUGUUACGGUGGCCGUAAUCGCAAGGUGUCGGAGGCGUUCGUGAAAACCGGUAAAACAAUCAAGCAGCUGGAAGAUGAAAUGCUGAACGGUCAGAAGCUUCAAGGUCCGAUCACGGCCGAGGAGGUUAACUUUAUGCUGAAAAGCAAAGGAAUGGAAGAUAAAUUCCCCCUGUUCACGGCGAUUCACAAAAUUUGCACCGGCGGAAUCAAACCGCAGGGCUUCCUGGACUGCUUGCGAAACCAUCCAGAGCACAUCUUCGAAGCCAAGCAUUUGAUGAUUUGAAGAUCACCUUAUGUUUGCGUGUUGCAUGAUUGAGAAAGCUACCUGUAUUUUUCGUUCGUGCUUGUCUUCCAUCCCUCCACAAAUUCUCCUGAAGUAUCAACGCCAUCAUUCGUUGUUGUGUUCAUUUAGAUGUAUCAUCCAAACUCCAUAGAAGCAACGGGCGAAACUCUAAUUCCCAUCACUAAUCUAGCGCGGCACACAAAUCUCGCAAUUCGCUACCACAAUAACCUCCCUUCUUCAUGAUAUAGACAAACACGAAAAAGCCAUUCGCAGAGAAGAUGCGCCAUACUUUGUAUCAUGAUCUCUGACUAUAAGUCACAGGAGAUACAAAACGUAGCAAAAUAUAUUAACAAAUAAAUCAUUCAGUAGCGUGUCAUGUUGAACCAUAGAGCUUUGCUGAUAAUUUAAGAGAUUGCAAUAUAGGGAUCCCCAACUAAGUGAGCAAAUCACUCUAAGAACAUUUGCAUUUAUCCGUGUUCUUUCCAUUACUUUUUGUGUCACAUCGUAAGACAGAUAUUUAACGUAAAAAAAUCAUAAAUGGUGAAUAAAAUUUUCAUCCUAGACAAUAUUGCAUCCGAGCGAA
Toxorhynchites rutilus septentrionalis is the source of this 2008-nucleotide RNA transcript. It is a transcript of the gene named glycerol-3-phosphate dehydrogenase [NAD(+)], cytoplasmic, with no coding region annotated. The record is from RefSeq and is a predicted model, not a curated record. The transcript is spliced from 7 exons. NCBI's taxonomy places the organism in Eukaryota, Metazoa, Arthropoda, Insecta, Diptera, Culicidae.